Cyprinus carpio (common carp) is the source of this 1661-nucleotide long non-coding RNA. Lineage: Eukaryota; Metazoa; Chordata; Actinopteri; Cypriniformes; Cyprinidae. The record is from Ensembl.
AUAGAGUUUAAUGUAUAAUCACUAUCUGUAUUUUCCAAAAUGCUUCCAAAUUAUACAUGUUUAUUUUUUAACAAGGGCACUUCAAUACAUUUGGUGAUUCACUCCUUUGGUAAGUAUAAAUAAACUGACACAUUUAUUUACAAUUGCACAUAAAGAGAUGAUCUGUCCAUUCAACAUAAUUACUGCAAAAGAAAACUAUUUUGGUGAAAAUUAAAUUGUAGGCUUAUAAGUAUAAAUCCUGUUUAAAUGUUCAAAUUAAUCUCUUUUGUUUUAGUUGUGCGUGAAUACAAAUGUAAAAUCAUGGUGAUUCUGUCAUCUGUUGUCUUUAUUGGCUCUUGAUGCUUCUGCCUCAUUACUGUAAUUGAUGGUCAUUAUUGAUGCUAAUAAACACCUGAGUUAAGUGUGAAUGCAUCUGGAUUUUUCCUGAUGUCUCUGAUAAUGAGUGCUAUAGUUAUGCUGAUUGUUUUAGAGCUGCUGAAACUCAGAGUCUGAAUGGUUCCUAUAACUGCUUACAUCCUUUGUUUGCUUUAUCUUCAACUUUAAGGACAGCCCACUAAAAUCUGUAUAAAGUUACAGUGUUUCACUGUUUUAGUCACACUUGAUGACCGCAGCACUGAACAGCAGCAUCUCAGUUAAGUGUCUCCUGGUCUUUGCUUCAAGAGUUUCCCACAGCUAUAACCGGAUAUUGUAGGACAACAUAUUAAAACAGAAAAACCCCUGGUGAAGCUGAGAUCCUUGUGACACUCUAUUAUAAAGAUGGCAUUUAUUAAGGUGGAGAGUGAAGACGUGAAUAUUGAAGAAGCAUUCAGAGUGAAACAAGAAGAUAAUGGGGAACAAACAGAUGGUUAGUGCACAUGAAAGCUAUAAUAACAAUACUGAAUAAAAUUCAGAGCAUCAGAAGCCGUUUACAAACAAAAAUAUCACUGUACUAACAUAUUAACAUGCCUUCUCCAUGUCUCUUUAGAUAAAAGCUCAAUAAGAACUACAAUCAGCAAAAGAACAUUCAUCGUUCCAAAAGGUCUUCAGGUCUGCUUCCUCACAGACUCAGUGUGUUGGGAUAUUGAGCACUACUUUCCAAACGCACAAUGUUGGAUUCAUCCAAACACGACUCUUGUGAGAUCCGUUCAACAACACGUGAAACACUUUGAGAAACUGCACAACUACACAAUAGUGAUUCUCCACAUAGGAACAAACGACAUCACAAGCGGAGUGUCUGCAUCGACUAUCGUCCAGAGAAUGAAAAGUCUCAUAUCAAGAAUCUCACAAGUUAAUUCACACAUCCUGUAUUUCGCAAUCAGCGCUAUUUUACCACGAGCAAAAGACGACUCUACAGUCAAAACUACAAUCAAACAAUGCAACAGCUUGCUUCAACACUGGUCUUCACAAACAAGAAACAUUCUAUUUCUGAACACUACGAAACCAUUUCUCAAAAACGGAAAAGUAAUCCAAAACCUAUACGAACACGACGGACUUCACCUGAACCAAGAAGGAAAACACAAACUGUUUUCAUACUUUCAGCGUUUCCUCUGGAAUUUUUGCCGGUUUUCAUCCCGUGCAAGACGUACUUAAACAUCUCACAUCAGUGUCUAACACAAACUUGACUUUGUUCAAUACAUCUGUGAAGCAAUAAACUAUAAGCUCACACUUCUUUCUGAACUUCA